This 333-nucleotide ribosomal RNA is filed under the name Laparocerus benchijigua. RNAcentral describes it as "partial 12S ribosomal RNA". The record is from RNAcentral. Lineage: Eukaryota; Metazoa; Arthropoda; Insecta; Coleoptera; Curculionidae.
AAUACCCUAUUAUUUUAAAAGUAAUUAAUUAAAUCUAAUUAGUAAUAGUUAAGUUCUUGAAAAUUAAAGAAUUUGGCGGUAUUUUAGUCUAUUCAGAGGAAUCUGUCCUAUAAUUGAUAAUCCACGAUUAUUUAUACCUAAAUUAUUAAUUUGCAUAUCGCCGUAGUUUGAAUAUUUUUUGAAAAUUAUAAUAUUCACAAUUUAUUUUUAUAAAAAAAAUCAGGUCAAGGUGUAGUUUAUAUUUAGGAAGAGAUGGGUUACAAUAAAAAUAUUUAUUAUGGAUUAAUUAAUUAAAUUUUUUUAUGAAAGUGGAUUUGAAAGUAAUUUUAUUUA